GAGUUUCAUGCCGUAAAGGCAAUCAUCAGGCAACAGUUUUUGCUUCUGAAUAUCAACAAAAACUGUUGCCUGAUGAUUGCCUUUACGGCACGAAACUC
This is a non-coding RNA of Paramuricea clavata, 98 nucleotides long. Lineage: Eukaryota; Metazoa; Cnidaria; Anthozoa; Malacalcyonacea; Plexauridae. The record is from the annotation of a GenBank genome assembly.